AAGAAAACUUAAAGGGGUUGAUGUUUUGUAUGAUCCAGUUGGAGGAAAGUUGACAAAAGAUUCAAUGAAACUUCUAAAUUGGAGUGCAAACAUUCUUGUGAUCGGGUUCGCCAGCGGGGAGAUCCCUGUUAUUCCCACGAAUAUCGCUCUUGUUAAGAACUGGACAGUUCAUGGACUUUAUUGGGGCAGCUACAAUAUACAUAGACCUCAAAUUCUUGAAGGGUCUAUGAAUGAGCUAUUAUCCUGGUUAUCGAGCGGAUUGAUCCGCGUUCACAUUUCUCACAUCUAUAGCCCAAUAGAGGCCAACCUUGCCUUUUAUGCCAUAAAGAAUAGAGAAGCUGUUGGGAAAGUGGUGUUGGUUUUUGACGACAAAACUGUGAAAUCGAAGCUGUAACUUACUCGGGGAUUCGACAUGGAUGUGAUGAAGAAAUAAUAGCUAUAAUGUACUGAAACUAAAACAAAUAUGGGGCAUAAAGAUUUGAAUCUUUGAUUUCAAAAAACGAAUCCAGGUCAACAUUGCUAAGUUAUGUUACAAAUAAAUUGAAAUUUGUUAGUUCACGAGGAGUGUUUGUCUGUCUUUAGAAAUAAGACUUUCAAACAUAGAAGAAACUAAUGGUGUAUUUUGCCACGAUUACCACAAAUUGGACAUAAUGUUCUAUGAUAUUUAUGGCUAUAAUAAA
This 680-nucleotide unclassified non-coding RNA is filed under the name Hevea brasiliensis (rubber tree). Lineage: Eukaryota; Viridiplantae; Streptophyta; Magnoliopsida; Malpighiales; Euphorbiaceae. The record is from RNAcentral.